This 207-nucleotide unclassified non-coding RNA is filed under the name Hevea brasiliensis (rubber tree). The record is from RNAcentral. Lineage: Eukaryota; Viridiplantae; Streptophyta; Magnoliopsida; Malpighiales; Euphorbiaceae.
CAAGAAUGGUCCCCUUGAUGUAUAGUUAUGACGACAAUCAACGUCUUCCAGUCCUUGAACACCAUGUCAAGUCUCUACUACUCACAGAAACCAUGUCCCUCUAGAACAAAUCACCCUCAGCAACUAAUAUUUACAUAAGGAGGCUUGCAAAUGAGAAUCGAAUUCUCUAUUUUCUAAUAGUAUAAGAAGAUAAACCAGAAAUUGUAG